CAGAGUUCAUGCCCUCACGGGUAGAUCUCCCACCCUUGAAAUACAUACCUUUGUUGCUUUGGCAGGCCGCGGCCUCCGCUACCGGCUCUUGCUGGUACGUGCCUGCCAGAGGACCCAACUCUUGUCUUUAGUGAUGUCUGAGUACUAUAUAAUAGUUA
Molecule: unclassified non-coding RNA, 158 nt
Filed under: uncultured Helotiales
Lineage: Eukaryota; Fungi; Ascomycota; Leotiomycetes; Helotiales
Description: sequence contains ITS1
Source: RNAcentral